ACUUGUGUCUGCUCACCUGGACUGCAGACAAACACAAUGAAAAAUAUAUUUUUGGUUCUUUUGAGACAAUCAUACAACUACUAAUGAGCUCUACGGUAGCCAGGACGGACAAUGCACCCCUCAGCUUCUGAGACAUCUUCAGACAACAUCUCCACUGAACCAAGGGGCACCUCCGAGACUUGCUGUUGGCACAAACCCUGGCGAGAACACGAGUGGAGGAGGACAACCAGAGCCGUGCCGAGGAGGCAGAAAGCCCUCACAAGCCCGUUUCCUGGCUCGGGUAAUCCGCUACUUCCUUUUGCAACUGUUGUGCAGCUCCUGCUUGGCUCCAAGUGCCUCUGGGAAAUUAUCUUACCGAGAGAGAGCAGUGUGCUGGUGAACGGGGGUCGUGGGGGCCUCUGGAGGUGGUGAAACAUCGGCGAGGCUCUUCUCGUGUCUCUUUCUGGCUGCUCGCCCCUGAAAGGCGCCGUGGGAGCGAGUGGAGCCGGGGCGGAUGGAGAGAUUUGCGCUUUCUGCUCGGGGCAAUGAAGUGUCGAUCACUUACAGCGCAGCGCGGGGAG
Molecule: long non-coding RNA, 560 nt
Organism: Gasterosteus aculeatus aculeatus (three-spined stickleback)
Lineage: Eukaryota; Metazoa; Chordata; Actinopteri; Perciformes; Gasterosteidae
Source: Ensembl